This 292-nucleotide long non-coding RNA is filed under the name Fukomys damarensis (Damara mole-rat). RNAcentral describes it as "lncRNA (ENSFDAG00000032621.1)". The record is from RNAcentral. Lineage: Eukaryota; Metazoa; Chordata; Mammalia; Rodentia; Bathyergidae.
CUAACAAGCUGGAGAGCCGGUUCUCUAGGCCUGUCAGCAGUGGACUAGCCUGAGCGCCGAAAUGGCUCACUGUGUCCUAGGAACACACGAGGAAGGUGAAAGCCUGAUGGAAAGGACUGAGAGGGAGACUCACACAGGUGCAGGUGGCUUAUUUGGGAAGUGACCCUGUGUCUGCCUCAUUUGCUCAGGAAACCCUGGUGACUACGCUGUGAGGUGGUGAUGCCUUUUGCAGGUAAGGAAACUGAGGUGCAGAUGACUGGUCAAGGACCCCACAGCUGGAAUGUGAGAUGCA